This 267-nucleotide ribosomal RNA is filed under the name Bacillus velezensis. RNAcentral's name for it is "partial 16S ribosomal RNA". It matches the Rfam family "Bacterial small subunit ribosomal RNA", at positions 1 to 257 of the family's 1533-position model. Lineage: Bacteria; Bacillati; Bacillota; Bacilli; Caryophanales; Bacillaceae. The record is from RNAcentral.
UUUAUCGGAGAGUUUGAUCCUGGCUCAGGACGAACGCUGGCGGCGUGCCUAAUACAUGCAAGUCGAGCGGACAGAUGGGAGCUUGCUCCCUGAUGUUAGCGGCGGACGGGUGAGUAACACGUGGGUAACCUGCCUGUAAGACUGGGGUAACUCCGGGAAACCGGGGCUAAUACCGGAUGGUUGUUUGAACCGCAUGGUUCAGACAUAAAAGGUGGCUUCGGCUACCACUUACAGAUGGACCCGCGGCGCAUUAGCUAGUUGGUGAGG